UUACGUUUCUUCGGCAGGGGAAACCUGUUCUGGUCCUGUUUGUGGCCGGCUACAAAGCAUUUUUCAACAUUUCACCAAAUGUUUGCGAAGCGUUUUCACAUAACAGCUCCUUUUAUCCUUACCGGAGUUCCAGAGAAAGCAAAAGACUCUACUAGGAUUCUAUUUUUAUUAGUAACAAAACCGAGACUUGGUUCAAGAAGAUAUGACCCGACUUAAAUUCGAAACGACAGAACUUGAGAAUUACUUCAGGUUUUCUUACUGCAUAGUACCGUAUGUGGUCACUUAAACACAGCCACGGUUAAAGAUCUUACAUUUUUAAAUUUUUUUUUCUGCCCGAUCUAUUAUGCUGUUCACUGCUUGUGUUGCUGACAAUUCCCCUGAAGAGAUGUCUGGUGCUUUACUUGAUUCGAAAAAUUUAGCUAAAUCAGAAAACGGGUCCCUAGGAGGCAAGUUUCGCUCAAAAGGACUGAGGGUGUAGCUCAGCGCUAACCUACAGGAUCAAACUUUACCAGCUCAACUGGGAUGCUAACACCUCUACGGGAUUGUAUUUACCAACUCCUUCCUGAGAAUAUGGGGAAUUCUGGAGGUCUUAAAAAGAGCAAGACACACCUACUCCUGGGGGCACCCAGCUCUGGCCCCCUUCUUUUUGAAGAAGUCUACGUCAUCCUUUGUCCCUCUCUUAAAUAAAACUUUCUAAGCUUG
This is a non-coding RNA of Ictidomys tridecemlineatus (thirteen-lined ground squirrel), 702 nucleotides long. The record is from RefSeq and is a predicted model, not a curated record. NCBI's taxonomy places the organism in Eukaryota, Metazoa, Chordata, Mammalia, Rodentia, Sciuridae.